Non-coding RNA from Manis javanica (Malayan pangolin), 2114 nucleotides. Lineage: Eukaryota; Metazoa; Chordata; Mammalia; Pholidota; Manidae. The record is from RefSeq and is a predicted model, not a curated record.
GACCCACGGGGAAGAAAGGGGGAAGGGAGUGAGCCGGGGAGAGGCUGCGGCUCAUGGCCUGGGGCGGAGAGCCGGGCUGCGAGGGUCUAGGCUAGGCCCGGCGCCGGCCUGACCCGCCUCGCCGGCAGAAGCUAACCCGGCUUCCUCCUCCCGGGGCGGACGGGGGAUGGGAGGGAGCUGGAGGCCACUGGAAGGGGGUAAAAGGAGGUCCUGAUUCCCCCUCUGCCGCAACCCUCAAAGCUGAUCCUGGCCUCCUGCGGAGACGCCUCAGCACCCUCCUGCAGACCUGACAACCCCCUCCCCAGGCACCCCGGGGGGUGGGGGCUUGGUCUAGCGAGACCCCUUCGCUACCCGGAGCAGCCGGCGGAGCUCCGGUGGAGGAAGCGAGGAGGACAGCCAGGAGGAUGCUGCCGCCGCCGCAGCAUCAGGGCCCUGGGCUGCCGCAGGGCGCGAGGCCUCCCGCAGCAGGGAAACCCGCCGGGCCAGAAGGAGCAACGAGGGAUGUAGAGUCAAAGAGAAGGAGAUGCGUUCAGAGAUUACCCCCUCCUGCUCCGCCCCCGCCACCAGGCCGGGCCCUCCAGCUUCGGGGGAUCCUGGCCCUCCCUCUACUGCCGGCGGUUUGGGGGACAGGGGGCGGGGAAGGCACAAGAGAAGAGGAAGGUUCCCAGCGGCACCACUGACUCAGGACGGGGCUCGCCGCGUCUGGACCCUGAUUCUCCUCCUAGGUGGUUCUCAGGCCGCUGCGCUGGACUCCCAGGAAAGGGAGCGACCACCCCAGCCAGGAAAGGGGUCAGCAGCGCGGGACUCAGCCGGGUGAACUCCGGGGGGCCUCGCACUUUUCGGGAGAGGUAGGAUGCACGGGCACCUGCUCCAACCCUAGUCUCCCAGCGCUCCCAGCUAGUCGCCCACCGCCUCACCGCAGAGCAUCUCCAGAGCCCCCGGGUUGGGUUGCCCAGCCGAGCCCUGAGAACGCUAGCCUUUGCCGAGUCUCCUCUGGCCACUUCAAUUCAGCAUUUCAGGAGGAGGGCCUUAUCUUGGAGCUUUUUUAUUUUUACUUCUUAGAUUAGCCAAGAAACCGGGGUGUGAUUGUUGUUGGACAAUCAAUAGUGGACUUCAAGAGGAGGGGAGGGAUUAGAUGAUGGAGAAUAAUUUCGUUCAGAUGAGAAGACAGUAGAGGAGAGUUUCUGAAAUCGCGAAUUGUUCCUGUCUUCCUUUGGAUAUGCUGGAGAUUCCUUGGUAAAAAUCUGUGAAUCUGGGCUCAGAGGUGUAAAGAGGCCACCCUCCUGCGUACAGCCUUCACCUGUGUGUCCCUCCUCAGACUACGCCCUGCCGGCGGCCUCUAAUGCCAGACCCUUGCCUACCGCUCUGCUCUCUGCCUGCCGCCUGCCACCUCGUAGACCCCAAGCAAUUUGUUAUAUAAAACAAAACAGCAGUCACACACAAGUGCCUGCAGACCCUCAGUGAGACACCCAGGGAGACCUCCUCUGCUGAAGCGCCUUGGGCAAUGUGUUUCUCAUCCUUUCCACCGCUGCCGUGCCUGACCACCAUCUCUAGUCCCCGCUGCCCAGCAGUCAGAAGGAAAGGGGGGUUUGGACUCCAGCUCCAAGGCUUCCAUGACCAGCUAGGUAGGGCUGCUAAACAUCUGUCUGAUUACACCAACCAUUAAGAAAACGAAGUGAUCAGAAAUACUUGGUCCACACACAAUGACAUACCACAAAACGAAUGCACAAUUUAUAUGUGAAAUGGCUCAGACACCAAGAAUGAGACAACACUGCAGUGCAGCCCAGAAAUGCUUAGGAUAACUCGGUACUAGAAAAUACUGGGGUUUAAGACUCUUUCACCACACUUUAUCAGGACCCUAAUUCUCCACUACUUCCCCUGGUUCCCAGGCACAAAUUGCCUUAACCUUUAGAAGAGGGGUUCUCAGCCACCAGGUUCCCAUGUACCUGUGCCCUCCUUGGGCUCUCUGCAUGGCCCUGAGCUGCUGGGAGGCCCAACAGACAGGCUCUACCAAUGAGUGCGCAGGGAUACCCAAUGCCAUCUCUUUCCUGCACCCCUGACUUACUCCCACCUUAUAUACUGGUUGCAAAAAGGCAGUGUGGAAAUAUCAAAUA